Molecule: unclassified non-coding RNA, 243 nt
Filed under: Hevea brasiliensis (rubber tree)
Lineage: Eukaryota; Viridiplantae; Streptophyta; Magnoliopsida; Malpighiales; Euphorbiaceae
Source: RNAcentral
ACGACAAUAGAGUGGAUCAUGUCCCACGCGCUACGACUUCAACGCUCAAAUCGUUCACACAUGGAAGAUCUAUAUAAGAAACCUCCCUGGCCGCGAUACUGUCACCCACUUUUGUUGUAACGAGCGUGGUUGCAUAGCUUUAGCGACUCUGCAACUUUUGAUGGCUUCCAGCUCGGGAGAAACGACCAGUAAAAUUGGGCCAACGCAAUAUAGCUAUGAAGAACUAGCAAAUGCAACUGGUCA